RNAcentral lists this ribosomal RNA (1475 nucleotides) under metagenome. Its description in RNAcentral is "bacterial SSU rRNA". It matches the Rfam family "Bacterial small subunit ribosomal RNA". The record is from RNAcentral.
AGAGUUUGAUCCUGGCUCAGCGUGAACGCUGGCGGCAUGGCUAAAACAUGCAAGUCGAACGAGAAAGUGGGCUUCGGCCCACGAUUAAAGUGGCGAAAGGACGAGUAAUGCGUUUCUAACGUGCCCCAAGGUUAGGGAUAGCUCGGGGAAACCCGGGGUAAUACCUGAUGACCCCGCAGCGCUGCAUGGCGCCGCGGGCAAAGGCUUGCUGCCUUGGGUUCGGGAAACGUCCUAUCAGCUUGUUGGUGAGGUAACGGCUCACCAAGGCUUUGACGGGUAGCGGGUGUGAGAGCAUGACCCGCCGUAUCGGGACUGAGACACUGCCCGGACUCCUACGGGAGGCUGCAGUAACGAAUCUUCCGCAAUGCGCGAAAGCGUGACGGAGCAAUGCCGCGUGCGGGAUGAAUCCCUUCGGGGUGUAAACCGCUGUCAGGGUGUAGGGACACAAUGACCGCACCCAAAGGAAGGACCGGCUAACUUCGUGCUAGCAGCCGCGGUAAUACGAAGGGUCCAAGCGUUACGCGGAAUCACUAUGGGCUUAAAGGGUGCGUAGGCGGACCCGUAAGUGUCUUGUGAAAGACCUCGGCUCAACCGAGGCAAGUCUUGGCAUACUACGGGUCUUGAGGUCGGCAGAGGCUGCCGGAACUCUAGGUGUAGCGGUGAAAUGCGUAGAUAUCUAGAGGAACGCCCAAGGCGAAGGCAGGCAACUGGGCCGAUUCUGACGCUGAGGCACGAAAGCGUGGGUAGCGAACGGGAUUAGAUACCCCGGUAGUCCACGCCGUAAACGAUGUGCACUAGAUUGUGGCGGCUCUGACGUCGUCACGGUCGAAGCUAAAGUGUUAAGUGCACCGCCUGGGGAGUACGGCCGCAAGGCUAAAACUCAAAGGAAUUGACGGGUCCUCACACAAGCGGUGGAGCAUGUGGUUUAAUUCGAUUCAACGCGAAGAACCUUAUCCAGGGUUUGACAUGUACGGAUUAACUCAUGGAAACAUGAGCCACGCCCUUUGGGUGGAACGUACACAGGUGCUGCAUGGCUGUCGUCAGCUCGUGCUGUGAAGUGUCGGGUUAAGUCCCUUAACGAGCGAAACCCCUGCCGUUAGUUGCUAACAGGUUAUGCUGAGGACUCUAGCGGGACUGCCGGUGUCAAACCGGAGGAAGGUGGGGACGACGUCAAGCCCUCAUGGCCUUUAUGCCCUGGGCUACACACGUGCUACAAUGGCGUGAACAGAGCGAAGCGAUACCGCAAGGUGGAGCAAAUCGCAUAAAACACGCCCCAGUUCGGAUUGGAGUCUGCAACUCGACUCCAUGAAGGUGGAAUCGCUAGUAACCGCGUAUCAGCUACGACGCGGUGAAUACGUUCCUGAGGAUUGUACACACCGCCCGUCAAGUCAUGGGAGCCGGGAGUACCCGAAGCCGCACCGAUUCAGGUGUGUCGACGGUAAGCUCGGUGACUGGGACUAAGUCGAAACAAGGUA